UGGGGAAUCUUGGACAAUGGGCGCAAGCCUGAUCCAGCCAUGCCGCGUGGAUGAUGAAGGCCUUAGGGUUGUAAAUCCUUUCGUUGGGGGCGAUAAUGACGGUACCCAAAGAAGAAGCUCCGGCUAACUUCGUGCCAGCAGCCGCGGUAAUACGAAGGGGGCUAGCGUUGUUCGGAUUUACUGGGCGUAAAGCGCGUGUAGGCGGACUUGUAAGUUGGGGGUGAAAUCCCGAGGCUCAACCUCGGAACUGCCUCCAAAACUACAAAUCUGGACCUAAGUAGAGGCAAGUGGAAUUGCGAGUGUAGAGGUGAAAUUCGUAGAUAUUCGCAGGAACACCAGUGGCGAAGGCGACUUGCUGGGACUUAUGGUGACGCUGAGACGCGAAAGCGUGGGGAGCAAACAGGAUUAGAUACCCCCGUAGUCCCUGAGCGGGCUGGCAAGGCGCAU
This 447-nucleotide ribosomal RNA is filed under the name uncultured bacterium. RNAcentral describes it as "bacterial SSU rRNA". It matches the Rfam family "Bacterial small subunit ribosomal RNA", at positions 355 to 825 of the family's 1533-position model. The record is from RNAcentral.